UUUUUCGGAGAGUUUGAUCCUGGCUCAGGACGAACGCUGGCGGCGUGCCUAAUACAUGCAAGUCGAGCGAACAGAAGGGAGCUUGCUCCCGGAUGUUAGCGGCGGACGGGUGAGUAACACGUGGGUAACCUGCCUGUAAGACUGGGAUAACUCCGGGAAACCGGAGCUAAUACCGGAUAGUUCCUUGAACCGCAUGGUUCAAGGAUGAAAGACGGUUUCGGCUGUCACUU
RNAcentral lists this ribosomal RNA (230 nucleotides) under Bacillus pumilus. RNAcentral describes it as "partial 16S ribosomal RNA". It matches the Rfam family "Bacterial small subunit ribosomal RNA", at positions 1 to 220 of the family's 1533-position model. Lineage: Bacteria; Bacillati; Bacillota; Bacilli; Caryophanales; Bacillaceae. The record is from RNAcentral.